RNAcentral lists this RNase P RNA (397 nucleotides) under Qipengyuania qiaonensis. Its description in RNAcentral is "Qipengyuania sp. 6D47A RNase P RNA component class A". It matches the Rfam family "Bacterial RNase P class A". Rfam says of the family: Ribonuclease P (RNase P) is a ubiquitous endoribonuclease, found in archaea, bacteria and eukarya as well as chloroplasts and mitochondria. Its best characterised activity is the generation of mature 5'-ends of tRNAs by cleaving the 5'-leader elements of precursor-tRNAs. The record is from RNAcentral. Lineage: Bacteria; Pseudomonadati; Pseudomonadota; Alphaproteobacteria; Sphingomonadales; Erythrobacteraceae.
CCAGGGGGCCGGGCAGCUGCGUGCCGUAAGGUACGAGGAAAGUCCGGGCUCCACGAAACAAGGGUGGCGGGUAACGCCCGCCCGGCGCAAGCCGAGGGAAAGUGCCACAGAGAGUAUACCGCCGAUGACCUGUUCGCAGGCUCAGGCAAGGGUGAAAGGGUGCGGUAAGAGCGCACCGGGGCUUCGGCAACGCGGCCCGCAUGGCAAACCCCACCCGGAGCAAGGCCGAAUAGGGGCGGCGCGCUGGAGACAGCUGGUGCGUUUCGCAUCGACCGCCCGGGUUGGCUGCUGGAGCCGCGGAGCAAUCCGUGGCCUAGACGAAUGGCUGCCUCUGCGCGGCUGGUGUGCAAGCAUACCGCGUGCAGGACAGAACCCGGCUUACAGGCCCCCUGGCAUA